CUACAUUUCCUCCCUUUCCCAUUCACUUAUCCACAGUUCAUAGAAUCCAGAUAUUGUCCUAAUACCCACUUGCAGAUCAAUUUAAUUCAUGUAUAUGUAUGUAUACACAUUUUGAUGGUUUCAAAGAUUAUCCCAACAAUUAUCAUCCUAAGAACACAUAGAUUUAAUCUCAGGUGUAGGACCCUUUCACAAGAUGCAUUCACAUGAAGCACUCUGCAGAUGCUCCAGAGAGUGCAGCAGCAGAAACUGCCUCAUGCAGCUGUGGUCACACAGUCCCAUCUAGGAUGGAGGCGAGACCUGCAGCUGAUAUAAGGAGAGACAGACAGGUGGAAAGAGAAGGAGCAAGAGGUCAGAGGCAACUGAGAAUAUUGCUUGGACCUGUGGUACGCUGGAACAGGUAUAUUCAUUUUCUUUUUCAGUCAUGCAAAUUAUUCUUGAGCUUGACUUGAUUUCCCAUUCAAAUUAGCAGCUCAGGAAAUGGCAGAAAUUGCAGAUUGUGUGUGUCUGUCAUCCAGGGUCUGUGUCUGGCCU
RNAcentral lists this long non-coding RNA (531 nucleotides) under Chinchilla lanigera (long-tailed chinchilla). RNAcentral's name for it is "lncRNA (ENSCLAG00000027922.1)". The record is from RNAcentral. Lineage: Eukaryota; Metazoa; Chordata; Mammalia; Rodentia; Chinchillidae.